This 1636-nucleotide long non-coding RNA is filed under the name Ananas comosus (pineapple). RNAcentral describes it as "long non-coding RNA (ACOM_LNC030601)". The record is from RNAcentral. Lineage: Eukaryota; Viridiplantae; Streptophyta; Magnoliopsida; Poales; Bromeliaceae.
AUAUACACAUGCUACUAUGCCUCUGUAAUCAUGGAAUGCAUGAACAUAGCAAUGAUAUUCUACUAAUCAUGAUACUAUGCUUCAACAAUAAUAGAAAUGAGCUACUACAUAGUGAUGUAUCUACAACAUGCUACUAUGUCUCAAUGUCAACUCAAGGUAUGAAUGCAAAUCUGCUAUGCCAUUCAUAUUCUUUACCCAAUCUGCUUGGAAAUGAGCUACUACAUAGUGAUGUAUCUACAACAUGCUACUAUGUCUCAACAAUAAGAAAAUGAGCUGCUACAUAGUGAUGUAUCUGCACAUGCUACUAUGCCUCAAUAAUCCGAAUGAACGAGCUACUACAUAGUGCGUCGUGCAACUAUGCCUCGAUAGUAUCCAAUCUCAUGGCUAACCUGAAGGUUGCCACCCCGGGGUCAACCCCGACUCACUCUCAAUCUCAUAGGUGAGGAGAAUCUGCGCUCGCACACCGAGACCGUCUGCGGGACAACUACGUCUGCCCCUAGUGAAGUACUCCGGAGACUCGUGCUUCGGUGGAGCGACCACCGACAAGCAAAAACAGACUAGUGAGUAUGAUCCAAUCCUCACAAGAGGAUACCCUAUCUACCAGGGUCAAUGUGCCUCUGCUGCACAAUACCAAAUGCAUAAUCAAUGCCUCAAAUGCACUAAUGCCAAAUGCAUAAUGUCUACAACAUGACAAUCGGGAAAAUCUACUAUCCCUAGAUUCAAAUGCCAUAGUGUUCCACUACACUAGAUUUGAUGCCACUCAUUUAUGUCACGAUGUUAUAUGUGUCUUAAUACACUAAAUCGACAUGCCACUCGUCAAUAUUAUAGUGUCUUUGUUACACUAGUCCAAAUGCCACUCGUCUAGGCCAAUUACAUGUCCAGUUCAUCAUUAUUCUUGUCACUAUAGGAUUCUUGUCACAAGACCCCAUCCUCAUGCAACCUAAGAUCAAGUGUCAAGCCCACAAUGCUACACAACCUAGGUAACAUGCAAGGAAUGGAAAUGUAAUCAUCUACUAAUCCUAUAAUGCACAAUAUAUCAACAUAUAGGAAUAUGAUCAAGAUAUAGAAUAUAGACAUAAAAGGAAACUCAGUUGCUUCGGGAUGACAACCUCCCACCUUUUAAUGCUACCAAGAGGCUAGGGUUCCGAUUUCGUGAUUUUUGGAAGCUUUCGCCGCGAGCUGCGGCAAUCUGUACCUUAACGGCUUCGUUCUUUAAUAUCUUCACAUAGCCUCGUCGUAUCGCCGAACCGACUUCGCCAACGCGUCAGAAAACCUAGUAAUUAGGUUUAUACAUGAUCAAUUUAGAUCAAACCCUCACAUAUUGCAAAAUCCCAUUUUUGAGCCCUAACAUGCAAUUACCCCCAAAUAAUCCAAAUUAAAUGGAGCAACAUGCUAAGAAUGCUCAUUAGAGGCUACUAGAACACUUAAGGCUAAGGAUUAAGCCAAAUCCCAAAAGUUUACCAAAAUGUGAACGCCGAGACGGAAGCACGCCGCUCCAACGAGCGCACGAAAGCUCGAUCCGUCGCUCCCAACGCGUUCGCAAGCUCGUUCUCCGCCAACGCCGCGAAUUUGGGCGAAAGAUCUAGAGAGAUGAGAGAGUUAUUUAGAGAGAGAAAGUGAGGAUUUCUCUCACUAC